Molecule: non-coding RNA, 31 nt
Filed under: Rattus norvegicus (Norway rat)
Lineage: Eukaryota; Metazoa; Chordata; Mammalia; Rodentia; Muridae
Source: RNAcentral
UUAAUGAUGGAUGAAUCUUUAGCAAAGAUUU